UACAGAGGGGGCAAGCGUUGUUCGGAAUUACUGGGCGUACAGGGCGCGUAGGCGGCCCGCUAAGUCGAACGUGAAAUCCCCGAGCUCAACUCGGGAACUGCGUCCGAUACGGGCGGGCUUGAAUCCGGGAGAGGGAUGCGGAAUUCCAGGUGUAGCGGUGAAAUGCGUAGAUAUCGCUUGGAACGCCAAAGGUGAAAACAGGUUGCUGGGGUUGUGCCGACGCUGAGACACGAAAGCCAGGGGAGCAAACGGG
This 253-nucleotide ribosomal RNA is filed under the name uncultured bacterium. RNAcentral describes it as "partial 16S ribosomal RNA". It matches the Rfam family "Bacterial small subunit ribosomal RNA", at positions 524 to 776 of the family's 1533-position model. The record is from RNAcentral.